AAGAACGUCGUGAGAGGGAGAGGAAGGAGCGGAAGAAGCGUGAGGAGGAGAGGGCGCGCAAAGAGAAGGCAGCUCGUCAAGAGGAGAGGGCAAGAAAGCUUGCGAGGGCUCGCGAUGCACAAGAGGAGGAUGAGGCACGCGACAAGAAGGGGAAAUGGCCGCGUGUGACCCAAUAAAGACUUGAAUGUGCUGCUAUUUGAGGAUUGUAUCAUGAAUUUGUGAUGAACUAUGUCAUGGACCUAUUGUGCUAUUUGAUGGGAACUAUGUAAUGAACCUAAGUUAUGCUAUUUGAUGGGAACUAUGUAACGAACCUAAGUUAUGCUAUUUGAUGAGAACUAUGUAAUGAACCUAACUUUCUUAUUAGUUGUCCAUGUGGUGAAUUGU
This 384-nucleotide long non-coding RNA is filed under the name Triticum aestivum (bread wheat). RNAcentral describes it as "long non-coding RNA (TAES_LNC023450)". The record is from RNAcentral. Lineage: Eukaryota; Viridiplantae; Streptophyta; Magnoliopsida; Poales; Poaceae.